This is a long non-coding RNA of Paramacrobiotus metropolitanus, 482 nucleotides long. RefSeq lists it as uncharacterized. Lineage: Eukaryota; Metazoa; Tardigrada; Eutardigrada; Parachela; Macrobiotidae. The record is from RefSeq and is a predicted model, not a curated record. The transcript is spliced from 3 exons.
GCGCGACCGAAUACGGACAACUCGCUGACGACUAUUCUGCUGACCGACGGCUUGCUGCAGUGACUUUUUGUUGACCGACGAAAUGAUGACCCCGACAGUUUGUUAAAAAGACAAAUGCGACAGCGAUGCGAUGCGAUGCGAUGCGAUGCGAUGCGAUGCGAUGCGAUGCGAUGCGAUGCGAUGCGAUGCGAUGCGAUGCGAUGCGUCGGUGAACGACAUUUUGCUGAACGACUUUUGUGAACACCGACUACUUGUUGGUGACAUUCUGCUGUUUGGAGAAACCGAAGAAACCUAAGGAAAACAACAGGUGGGCGAACUGACGUGCUACCGGCCGAAGGCCAUAAGGACGCAGACGGUGCAAUCGAUUGGGUAGACGUCAAUUGCCAAGCAGGUAUAACCGCGACCGGCGAGGUAAAGAACAGAGCAGUGAAAUCCUGCAGACCGGAUUCGAACGCGCUACACUGAUUGGAUUGCUGUAACCA